Orchesella cincta is the source of this 114-nucleotide regulatory RNA element. It matches the Rfam family "Potassium channel RNA editing signal". From Rfam's summary of the family: This family represents a group of sequences related to the human potassium channel Kv1.1 hairpin element which directs the efficient modification of an adenosine to inosine by an adenosine deaminase acting on RNA (ADAR). The ADAR modification causes an isoleucine/valine recoding event which lies in the ion-conducting pore of the potassium channel. NCBI's taxonomy places the organism in Eukaryota, Metazoa, Arthropoda, Collembola, Entomobryomorpha, Orchesellidae. The record is from Rfam.
AUACAAAAACGGGACUGUAGGCCGGUGGGUGUCUGGGGUAAGAUAGUCGGUUCAUUGUGUGCCAUUGCCGGUGUCUUGACAAUCGCUUUACCUGUGCCUGUCAUCGUAUCCAAU